UGGCUCAGUGGUAGAGUGCUUGCCUUGCAUGCAUGAGGCUUUGGGUUCAAUUCCUCA
RNAcentral lists this transfer RNA (57 nucleotides) under Dipodomys ordii (Ord's kangaroo rat). It matches the Rfam family "tRNA", at positions 8 to 63 of the family's 71-position model. Rfam says of the family: Transfer RNA (tRNA) molecules are approximately 80 nucleotides in length. The record is from Rfam by way of RNAcentral. Lineage: Eukaryota; Metazoa; Chordata; Mammalia; Rodentia; Heteromyidae.